GGCGCCAUGUUGUCCGGAACCGGGAGCAGCCGUCUUGUACGGCGCCAAUGUGUCGUCACGGGCGCGGGGCGGACGGUUGGGUUUGAACGGGGCGGCGGCGGCCGGGGAGCGGGAACUGGGGCCAGGGACUCGGAAACCGGGAUUCGGGAGCGGGGGGCCCCGAGCGGGAGGUGAAAGCGGCCGAGGGGCCCGUCGGAGGAGGAGGCAGUGCGGAAGCGGCGGCCGCCGUUGCCUGAGGCCGGGGCGGGCGCGGCGGGGAAGGAGCGCGGGAGAAGCGGGGAGAGAAGGUCGGCGCUGCCCGGGAGCGGCUGCAUGGAAGGAGCGCUGAGGCGGUGCCGCCGGCGGUGGGCGCGGAGCGUGUGGGGAACCCCCCGAUAAGUGCGGCGCGGAUCCAUCCGAGGAAAAGUAUAUCCUUCAGCAAUGGACAAGAUUUACACAGACCCUAAUAUGGAAAUGGAUAACACAGAGCACAUCAGAAGGAAGCGACUGUCCUCUAUUUUAAAGGCUCCACGAAAUGCCCUGGAUGAUCUGGGAAAUGGGAAUGAAAUGACAGAGGACAUCCAUGUAGAGAGACGCAGGAGGAGCUCGCGCAGGGUCAGCUUUGCCAGCACCAUCAACUGCAGAGUCUUCCAGCGAGAUCUUAAGAACAGCACAUCAGAGACAGAAAAUACAGGUAAAACUCCUUUAUCUUUUCCUGACAGGUUUCCCAGACUAUUAACAACAAGAUUUUAGCUAGAAUUUAAGAAAUUAGAAGUUUUCCAUCUGGGGAAGGAACAACAUGGUCAGCUCUUUAUCCUGGCCUGGCUGAAAACUCCUUAGUCACAGAGUUCUUGCCUUGAGAAGACACAUCAAGAGUGAGAACUUCAGAAUAUUGUUUUCUGUGCACUUCACUCUUGUCUCAUGCCGAGUCAGAAUUGUGUGGGUUGGGCAAAACCUUUAAGAUAAUCAAAUACAACUGUGAUCGUGUUU
This 969-nucleotide long non-coding RNA is filed under the name Chloebia gouldiae (Gouldian finch). RNAcentral describes it as "Erythrura gouldiae (Gouldian finch) lncRNA (ENSEGOG00005019413.1)". The record is from RNAcentral. Lineage: Eukaryota; Metazoa; Chordata; Aves; Passeriformes; Passeridae.